CCUGGGCUCAAAUUUAGGGCUUGUCCAGGAAACUCACAUUUUCCCGGAUGGCCCUGAGGUCGUCCAACUGCUGCUCCAGUUCCCCAACAUGUUCAUUCAGGAGCUGCAACUGGACACAAUUUCUG
This is a long non-coding RNA of Amblyraja radiata (thorny skate), 125 nucleotides long. RefSeq lists it as uncharacterized. The record is from RefSeq and is a predicted model, not a curated record. The transcript has 3 exons. NCBI's taxonomy places the organism in Eukaryota, Metazoa, Chordata, Chondrichthyes, Rajiformes, Rajidae.